UGAUUAUGAUGAGGAAAAUCCCAAAGCAAUCCCUUGAACCUCUCCCAAGAAGAAUAUAAGGACUUGCCCUCCCUCUGUUUAAAAGUGACUAUCUCACUUCUAAUUUU
This is a small nucleolar RNA of Nicotiana attenuata, 107 nucleotides long. It matches the Rfam family "Plant small nucleolar RNA R71". From Rfam's summary of the family: R71 is a member of the C/D box family of snoRNAs containing the C (UGAUGA) and D (CUGA) box motifs. Multiple nearly identical copies of this snoRNA have been identified in Arabidopsis, and it is thought to function as a 2'-O-ribose methylation guide for 18S ribosomal RNA. NCBI's taxonomy places the organism in Eukaryota, Viridiplantae, Streptophyta, Magnoliopsida, Solanales, Solanaceae. The record is from Rfam.